CCUACGGGAGGCAGCAGUGGGGAAUGUUGGACAAUGGGCGCAAGCCUGAUCCAGCUAUUCCGCGUGUGGGAUGACGGCCCUCGGGUUGUAAACCACUUUAGUAGAGAACGAAAAGGAGCUAUCGAAUAAAUAGCUGUGCGGACGGUACUCGAAGAAUAAGCACCGGCUAACGACGUGCCAGCAGCCGCGGUAAUACGCAGGGUGCGAGCGUUAAUCGGAAUGACUGGGCGGAAAGGGUGUGCAGGCGGCUGAGUAAGACAGAGGUGAAAUCCCCGGGCUUAACCUGGGAACCGCAGAUGUGACUGCUUGGCUAGAGUGCGUCAGAGGGAGGUCGACUUCCACGUGUAGCCGU
This 352-nucleotide ribosomal RNA is filed under the name uncultured bacterium. Its description in RNAcentral is "partial 16S ribosomal RNA". It matches the Rfam family "Bacterial small subunit ribosomal RNA", at positions 338 to 682 of the family's 1533-position model. The record is from RNAcentral.